RNAcentral lists this long non-coding RNA (211 nucleotides) under Elaeis guineensis (African oil palm). Its description in RNAcentral is "long non-coding RNA (EGUI_LNC010185)". The record is from RNAcentral. Lineage: Eukaryota; Viridiplantae; Streptophyta; Magnoliopsida; Arecales; Arecaceae.
AAACAAUCUCACAACAACCACCCAUCCCACAAAAUCCCUCGUAGGAAGCAUGACACCAUCACUACACCAGCCAAGCACAGUGCCCGGCUAUGAUCAAAUCACUUGGGCUAAUUGACGAUUCCCUAAUGGCGGCAAAUAUCUUAUUCCUAAACUCUCUGGCAACCACCUAAAUAUCUGAAACGAAAAAUAUCACGUCCCGAACUCAACAUCC